UGCGCUGGAUUAUGACUGA
RNAcentral lists this small nuclear RNA (19 nucleotides) under Arabidopsis thaliana (thale cress). RNAcentral describes it as "snRNA_00553". Lineage: Eukaryota; Viridiplantae; Streptophyta; Magnoliopsida; Brassicales; Brassicaceae. The record is from RNAcentral.